This 450-nucleotide ribosomal RNA is filed under the name uncultured bacterium. RNAcentral's name for it is "bacterial SSU rRNA". It matches the Rfam family "Bacterial small subunit ribosomal RNA", at positions 354 to 796 of the family's 1533-position model. The record is from RNAcentral.
GUGGGGAAUAUUGGACAAUGGGCGAAAGCCUGAUCCAGCCAUGCCGCGUGUGUGAAGAAGGUCUUCGGAUUGUAAAGCACUUUAAGUUGGGAGGAAGGGCAGUAAGUUAAUACCUUGCUGUUUUGACGUUACCGACAGAAUAAGCACCGGCUAACUUCGUGCCAGCAGCCGCGGUAAUACGAAGGGUGCAAGCGUUAAUCGGAAUUACUGGGCGUAAAGCGCGCGUAGGUGUUUCAGCAAGUUGGAGGUGAAAUCCCCGGGCUCAACCUGGGAACGGCCUCCAAAACUACUGAGCUAGAGUACGGUAGAGGGUAGUGGAAUUUCCUGUGUAGCGGUGAAAUGCGUAGAUAUAGGAAGGAACACCAGUGGCGAAGGCGACUACCUGGACUGAUACUGACACUGAGGUGCGAAAGCGUGGGGAGCAAACAGGAUUAGAUACCCCGGUAGUCC